UACAGAGGUGGCAAGCGUUGUUCGGAAUUACUGGGCGUAAAGGGCGCGUAGGCGGCCCGUCAAGUCCCGUGUGAAAGCCCCCGGCUCAACCGGGGAACGGCGCGGGAAACUAGCAGGCUUGAGUUCGGGAGAGGGAAGCGGAAUUCCGGGUGUAGCGGUGAAAUGCGCAGAUAUCCGGAGGAACACCGGUGGCGAAGGCGGCUUCCUGGACCGACACUGACGCUGGAGGUGCGAAAGACGUGGGGAGCAAACAGG
This 255-nucleotide ribosomal RNA is filed under the name uncultured bacterium. RNAcentral's name for it is "partial 16S ribosomal RNA". It matches the Rfam family "Bacterial small subunit ribosomal RNA", at positions 524 to 776 of the family's 1533-position model. The record is from RNAcentral.